This 345-nucleotide ribosomal RNA is filed under the name uncultured bacterium. RNAcentral describes it as "partial 16S ribosomal RNA". It matches the Rfam family "Bacterial small subunit ribosomal RNA", at positions 338 to 675 of the family's 1533-position model. The record is from RNAcentral.
CCUACGGGCGGCUGCAGUAGGGAAUCUUCCACAAUGGGCGAAAGCCUGAUGGAGCAACGCCGCGUGGGUGAAGAAGGUCUUCGGAUCGUAAAACCCUGUUGUUAGAGAAGACAGUGCGUGAGAGUAACUGUUCACGUUUCGACGGUAUAUAACCAGAAAGCAACGGCUAACUACGUGCCAGGAGCCGCGGUAAUCCGUAGGUGGCAAGCGUUAUCCGGAUUUAUUGGGCGUAAAGUGAACGCAGGCGGUCUUUUAAGUCUGAUGUGAAAGCCGUCGGCUUAACCGGAGUAGUGCAUUGGAAGCUGGGGGACUUGAGUGCAGAAGAGGAGAGUGGAACUCCAUGGG